UAUCCUAAUUGUGGCCACUGGCCAAGUCAGUAGCUACCAUACAAUCUUGUAAGUUUAGAAGGCCAGCAUUCCUUCUUUUAUGUGCUUCUUUUGAUCGGCACAUUACGACAUUACCUCAUUUAAAUCGAGCCCCCCAAACCUAAGGAACAAUAGAUUCAGCAGCUAUACUGUUCAACUAUUCCUUCUGCUGUUAUUUCAUCCUUGCAUAUACAACACUUCCUCAGUUAGAGAGCUAGCUCGCCUAAUCUAAGAGACCAUGGACCCCAACAGCUAACACAAUUUCAUUUCUGAUGGUACCAUCUCAUUUAUGGCAUUACUACCUCACUUGGGGCUAGCUCACACCUAAUCUACAGAUCAUGGAUGCGAGAAUAAAAAUGUAUAGAUAUGCACCAAAGAGGAAGCAUGGAUCGCAAAGCGUAUCCAUUGCCUUUUCUUCCCAG
Molecule: long non-coding RNA, 440 nt
Filed under: Hordeum vulgare
Lineage: Eukaryota; Viridiplantae; Streptophyta; Magnoliopsida; Poales; Poaceae
Description: long non-coding RNA (HVUL_LNC002726)
Source: RNAcentral